GUGUCUGUGGGAUGAACAGGUCACAGUAGUUAUCACCAUUUAGUUCACUUUGUCAGCUUAUAGUCAUGUCUUAAGCUGAUCGUUGAGAAUGGGAAACGA
Molecule: non-coding RNA, 99 nt
Organism: Oryza meridionalis
Lineage: Eukaryota; Viridiplantae; Streptophyta; Magnoliopsida; Poales; Poaceae
Source: Rfam